AUCCUGAGAGUCACCUGUGCUGCUGGAAGUAGGAAGUGUCACUCCCAUUUCACUCCCCACAGCUGUGUUGUUGGGAAUUGCUCAAGAUUUUAUUUUUGAUGAUCAACUUUGGGAGAUAAAAUGAAAACAAAUGAGGCCAGGAACCAAGCACGUCUGGGUGGCGUUUGGAAGAGGCAUACAGGGACAUAGAGGCAUGGUUUCCCACCGACUGAGAUGAAGCUUCUCUUCCUAACAUCCUUCCACAGAAAGCAGAUAGCCAAAAGAUAUUUUUGACUGAAUGGAUGGAGGAAGAUGAGGAGUGAAGACCCCAAUUUCUUUCCCCUCAUAACGAAGUCAAAAGGGGACUCCAUUAU
This 353-nucleotide long non-coding RNA is filed under the name Callithrix jacchus (white-tufted-ear marmoset). RNAcentral describes it as "lncRNA (ENSCJAG00000055703.2)". Lineage: Eukaryota; Metazoa; Chordata; Mammalia; Primates; Cebidae. The record is from RNAcentral.